This 1785-nucleotide long non-coding RNA is filed under the name Homo sapiens (human). RNAcentral's name for it is "HSALNT0234061". Lineage: Eukaryota; Metazoa; Chordata; Mammalia; Primates; Hominidae. The record is from RNAcentral.
GCCAGAGUUCUCAUGGGAAGGCACCAUCGAAGGGCAUAGAUAUGACAUAAUUCUACAGGUCGAGGAGUUUCGCAGACAUAACUCCUUGGGAGCAGUGCCCAGGUCAAGAAAGAAAAUGUGGCCAAUGCCCCAGGAUCUUAUUUGGUCAUCCAGGCUGGACUGCAGUGGUGUGAUCAUAGCUCACUGCAGCCUCAAACUGCUGGACUCCAGUGAUCUUCCAGCCUCAGCCUCCCCCGGUAGCAAGGACUACAGGGUCCCAGAAGGAACCAACGCUGCCCACACCUUAAUUUGAGACUUCUGGCCUCUGAGAAAUGAGAAAGAGUCUCACUCUCUGUCGCCCAGCCUGGAGUGCAGUGGCAUCAUCUGAGCUCACUACAACCUCCGCCUCCCGGGUUCAAGCGAUUCUCCUGCCUCAGCCUCCUGAGUAGCUGGGACUACAGGCACGCGCCACCACGCCCAGCUAAUUUUCGUAUUUUUAAUAGACAUGGGGUUUCACCAUGUUGGCCAGGCUGCUCUUGAACUGCUAACCUCAAGUGAUCCACCAGCGUUGGCCUCUCAAAGUACUAGGAUUACAGUGCUAGGAGCCACCAUGCCCGGCCGCCUCUCUUUUCUUUUACACAUGAAGAAAAAGUGGUCAGAGAAGUUAACUUGGUCAGUGCCAAAAGCACUGGAAGUGAGUAGGACCAAGCUUUUCAUCUAGAUUUGUUUGUUAGACUCUAAAUCCAAAUUCACAACAAGAUCAGAAUAUGAGAAACCUAAGGAACAAAAUUCUAGGAAUCAUUUCUAGAAACUGUGGCUAUUGAAAAAGCACAGACCUAGGGAAUCAAAUUAUUUUCCCUGCCACCAGCACAUGGGUAGGCCUGUGACAAAUUCCAUGCUCUGGACCCCAGAUUCCUCAGUGAGAAUAGAAGGGGCUAGAGACAUCAGGGAAUUGGAUUUGGUGACUUUAAUACCCACUCAGCUCCAAAGCAUUCUUGAAUGAUGCACGAUUUAUGAAUAUAUAUAUUGAAAUUUACUGAUGGGUGAACAGCUCUCAACAUGAGAUUUUUGUUGUAUGCCUUAAAAAAGAUUAUACAUAAAUAUGCGUGUGUGUGUGUAUGUAUGUUUCGAUGUAUAUGAACCCAUGAUCUGAAAAAUGGCCACUGUGGCUUGUGGAAACCUAUUAAUCUCUGCUGUUCCACCCAACAUCCUCAGAGAAAAAAAUAAACAACUUUUUGAAAGUGCUGCCAUGGGGUCAGACCAAAUACUGUGGCCACUUCCAAGGGGUUUGCCUUGAUUUGCCUGGAUUCCUGUUCAUGUGACAUCUGCCUUCUAAUUCAAGGAUAUGAUCAAUUCAAUGUGUGAGUUAUCAAUCAAGGACUGGCAACAGUGAUGCUGAACAAGCCUGGUGGAAGGAAAGAGAAGGCAGGCCAGAGCCCAGACAGACGCAUUCACAAACCUUACAAAGAGGACAGGCUAAUUAGGGGCUGUAGUUCUCCCUCUCUUUAUAGUUGGUAUAAGAGGAGUGGUAAUCGUAGUGUCCAAAAAUAUAUGGGCUACAUAGUUGCUUAGUAAGCUGUGGGUAUGUGGUUUCUUCUGCAAGGUGCUUUCUUUCUGAUAAAGAGAUUACGUUGUUUGUUUGUUCAUUUAUUGAACAUAUUUACACUUACACACACACACACACACACACACAAUGUUCCAGAUACCGUACUUGGCAAUGGUAGUUAGACCUUGCUCUUGCAAAAUUUAUAAUGAAGUUGGGAAGUGUGGUUUGAUCCCUCAAAGUGUCCAAAUCCUAAUCCCCAG